UUCUUUCCUCCCGAGUGCUUGCACUCAAUUGGAAAGAGGAGUGGCGGACGGGUGAGUAACACGUGGGUAACCUACCCAUCAGAGGGGGAUAACACUUGGAAACAGGUGCUAAUACCGCAUAACAGUUUAUGCCGCAUGGCAUAAGAGUGAAAGGCGCUUUCGGGUGUCGCUGAUGGAUGGACCCGCGGUGCAUUAGCUAGUUGGUGAGGUAACGGCUCACCAAGGCCACGAUGCAUAGCCGACCUGAGAGGGUGAUCGGCCACACUGGGACUGAGACACGGCCCAGACUCCUACGGGAGGCAGCAGUAGGGAAUCUUCGGCAAUGGACGAAAGUCUGACCGAGCAACGCCGCGUGAGUGAAGAAGGUUUUCGGAUCGUAAAACUCUGUUGUUAGAGAAGAACAAGGACGUUAGUAACUGAACGUCCCCUGACGGUAUCUAACCAGAAAGCCACGGCUAACUACGUGCCAGCAGCCGCGGUAAUACGUAGGUGGCAAGCGUUGUCCGGAUUUAUUGGGCGUAAAGCGAGCGCAGGCGGUUUCUUAA
RNAcentral lists this ribosomal RNA (545 nucleotides) under Enterococcus faecalis. RNAcentral describes it as "bacterial SSU rRNA". It matches the Rfam family "Bacterial small subunit ribosomal RNA", at positions 65 to 586 of the family's 1533-position model. The record is from RNAcentral. Lineage: Bacteria; Bacillati; Bacillota; Bacilli; Lactobacillales; Enterococcaceae.